UACGUAGGGUGCGAGCGUUGUCCGGAAUUAUUGGGCGUAAAGGGCUCGUAGGCGGUUUGUCGCGUCGGGAGUGAAAUCAUCUGGCUUAACUGGGUGCUUGCUUUCGAUACGGGCAGACUAGAGGUAUGCAGGGGAGAACGGAAUUCCUGGUGUAGCGGUGAAAUGCGCAGAUAUCAGGAAGAACACCCGUGGCUAAGGCGGCUCUCUAGUACGGUACUGACGCUGAGACGCGAAAGCGUGGGGAGCGAACAGG
This 253-nucleotide ribosomal RNA is filed under the name uncultured bacterium. RNAcentral's name for it is "partial 16S ribosomal RNA". It matches the Rfam family "Bacterial small subunit ribosomal RNA", at positions 524 to 776 of the family's 1533-position model. The record is from RNAcentral.